GUGGGGAAUAUUGCACAAUGGGCGAAAGCCUGAUGCAGCAACGCCGCGUGAGUGAUGAAGGUCUUCGGAUUGUAAAGCUCUGUCUUUUGGGACGAUAAUGACGGUACCAAAGGAGGAAGCCACGGCUAACUACGUGCCAGCAGCCGCGGUAAUACGUAGGUGGCGAGCGUUGUCCGGAUUUACUGGGCGUAAAGGGUGCGUAGGCGGAUGUUUAAGUGAGAUGUGAAAUACCCGGGCUUAACUUGGGUGCUGCAUUUCAAACUGGAUAUCUAGAGUGCAGGAGAGGAGAAUGGAAUUCCUAGUGUAGCGGUGAAAUGCGUAGAGAUUAGGAAGAACACCAGUGGCGAAGGCGAUUCUCUGGACUGUAACUGACGCUGAGGCACGAAAGCGUGGGUAGCAAACAGGAUUAGAUACCCUGGUAGUCCACGCCGUAAACGAUGAGUACUAGGUGUAGGAGGUAUCGACCCCUUCUGUGCCGCAGUAAACACAUUAAGUACUCCGCCUGGGGAAGUACGAUCGCAAGAUUAAAACUCUAAAGUGAAUUGAC
RNAcentral lists this ribosomal RNA (547 nucleotides) under uncultured bacterium. RNAcentral's name for it is "partial 16S ribosomal RNA". It matches the Rfam family "Bacterial small subunit ribosomal RNA", at positions 354 to 914 of the family's 1533-position model. The record is from RNAcentral.